AGGACGAACGCUGGCGGCGUGCUUAACACAUGCAAGUCGAGCGAGGCUCCUCCUUCGGGAGGAUGCCCUAGCGGCGAACGGGUGAGUAACACGUGGGCAACCUGCCCCUAGCACUGGGAUAACCCCGGGAAACCGGGGCUAAUACCGGAUACGACUUCGGAAGGCAUCUUCUGAAGUGGAAAAGGUUACUGGCUAGGGAUGGGCCCGCGGCCUAUCAGCUUGUUGGUGGGGUAAUGGCCCACCAAGGCGACGACGGGUAGCCGGCCUGAGAGGGCGACCGGCCACACUGGGACUGAGACACGGCCCAGACUCCUACGGGAGGCAGCAGUGGGGAAUAUUGCGCAAUGGGCGAAAGCCUGACGCAGCAACGCCGCGUGAGGGAUGACGGCCUUCGGGUUGUAAACCUCUUUCAAGCAGGGACGAUAAUGACGGUACCUGCAGAAGAAGCUCCGGCCAACUACGCGCCAGCAGCCGC
Molecule: ribosomal RNA, 475 nt
Filed under: uncultured bacterium
Lineage: Bacteria
Description: SSU rRNA
Rfam family: Bacterial small subunit ribosomal RNA
Source: RNAcentral